RNAcentral lists this unclassified non-coding RNA (277 nucleotides) under fungal sp. RNAcentral describes it as "partial internal transcribed spacer region". The stretch from base 1 to 46 matches the Rfam family "Eukaryotic small subunit ribosomal RNA", at positions 1786 to 1831 of the family's 1831-position model. Lineage: Eukaryota; Fungi. The record is from RNAcentral.
AAGUCGUAACAAGGUAACCGUAGGUGAACCUGCGGUUGGAUCAUUAAAAAAUGGUAUAGUUUGCAGUUUGGUCAGUUACAGUGCGCUCAGGAUGCUUUCAAACAGCUUGACGUACUGUCGAGACCAGUUCUCCUAGACUGCAAAUUUUUCCUCCAACCCUUUAUUGUAUUUUGGGCAAAACUCUGUUUUGCCCAGUGGAUUAUUAACACCUCUUUAAUUUUGCCUGAAAUUAUUUUAUAAAUAAUAACAACUUUUGACAACGGAUCUCUUGGCUCUC